GACGAACGCUGGCGGCGUGCCUAAUACAUGCAAGUAGAACGCUGAAGGAGGAGCUUGCUUCUCUGGAUGAGUUGCGAACGGGUGAGUAACGCGUAGGUAACCUGCCUGGUAGCGGGGGAUAACUAUUGGAAACGAUAGCUAAUACCGCAUAAUAGUAGAUGUUGCAUGACAUUUGCUUAAAAGGUGCAAUUGCAUCACUACCAGAUGGACCUGCGUUGUAUUAGCUAGUUGGUGGGGUAACGGCUCACCAAGGCGACGAUACAUAGCCGACCUGAGAGGGUGAUCGGCCACACUGGGAAUGAGACACGGCCCAGACUCCUACGGGAGGCAGCAGUAGGGAAUCUUCGGCAAUGGACGGAAGUCUGACCGAGCAACGCCGCGUGAGUGAAGAAGGUUUUCGGAUCGUAAAGCUCUGUUGUAAGAGAAGAACGAGUGUGAGAGUGGAAAGUUCACACUGUGACGGUAUCUUACCAGAAAGGGACGGCUAACUACGUG
This 495-nucleotide ribosomal RNA is filed under the name uncultured bacterium. RNAcentral's name for it is "partial 16S ribosomal RNA". It matches the Rfam family "Bacterial small subunit ribosomal RNA", at positions 28 to 507 of the family's 1533-position model. The record is from RNAcentral.